UACAGAGGUCCCAAGCGUUGUUCGGAUUCACUGGGCGUAAAGGGUGCGUAGGUGGUGGGGUAAGUCGGAUGUGAAAUCUCCGAGCUCAACUCGGAAAUGGCAUUGGAAACUACCUUGCUCGAGGGUUGGAGGGGGGACUGGAAUACUUGGUGUAGCAGUGAAAUGCGUAGAUAUCAAGUGGAACACCAGUGGCGAAGGCGAGUCCCUGGACAACUCCUGACACUGAGGCACGAAAGCUAGGGGAGCAAACAGG
Molecule: ribosomal RNA, 253 nt
Filed under: uncultured bacterium
Lineage: Bacteria
Description: partial 16S ribosomal RNA
Rfam family: Bacterial small subunit ribosomal RNA
Source: RNAcentral